UACGAACUGUGCAAACGUUAUUCGGAAUCACUGGGCUUACAGGGUGCGUAGGCGGCUUGUUAAGUAGGGUGUGAAAGCCCCCGGCUCAACCGGGGAAUGGCGCCCUAAACUGGCGAGCUAGAGUGAGAUAGGGGUGUGUGGAACUUCCGGUGGAGCGGUGAAAUGUGUUGAUAUCGGAAGGAACGCCGGUGGCGAAAGCGACACACUGGAUCUUGUCUGACGCUGAGGCACGAAAGCCAGGGGAGCGAACGGG
Molecule: ribosomal RNA, 253 nt
Filed under: uncultured bacterium
Lineage: Bacteria
Description: partial 16S ribosomal RNA
Rfam family: Bacterial small subunit ribosomal RNA
Source: RNAcentral